This 83-nucleotide ribosomal RNA is filed under the name Erinaceus europaeus (western European hedgehog). Lineage: Eukaryota; Metazoa; Chordata; Mammalia; Eulipotyphla; Erinaceidae. The record is from RNAcentral.
GUCUAUGACCCUACCACCCUGAACACAUCCGAUCUCUUCUGAUCGCAGAAGCUAAGCAGGGUCGUGCCUGGUUAUCUUGGAUG